GACGAACGCUGGCGGCGUGCUUAACACAUGCAAGUCGAACGGAAAGGCCCUGCUUUUGUGGGGUGCUCGAGUGGCGAACGGGUGAGUAACACGUGAGUAACCUGCCCUUGACUUUGGGAUAACUUCAGGAAACUGGGGCUAAUACCGGAUAGGAGCUCCUGCUGCAUGGUGGGGGUUGGAAAGUUUCGGCGGUUGGGGAUGGACUCGCGGCUUAUCAGCUUGUUGGUGGGGUAGUGGCUUACCAAGGCUUUGACGGGUAGCCGGCCUGAGAGGGUGACCGGCCACAUUGGGACUGAGAUACGGCCCAGACUCCUACGGGAGGCAGAAGUGGGGAAUAUUGCACAAUGGGCGGAAGCCUGAUGCAGCAACGCCGCGGGCGGGAUGACGGCCUUCGGGUUGUAAACCGCUUUCGCCUGUGACGAAGCGUGAGUGACGGUAAUGGGUAAAGAAGCACCGGCUAACUACGUG
RNAcentral lists this ribosomal RNA (468 nucleotides) under uncultured bacterium. RNAcentral's name for it is "partial 16S ribosomal RNA". It matches the Rfam family "Bacterial small subunit ribosomal RNA", at positions 28 to 507 of the family's 1533-position model. The record is from RNAcentral.